Molecule: transfer RNA, 72 nt
Filed under: Bos taurus (domestic cattle)
Lineage: Eukaryota; Metazoa; Chordata; Mammalia; Artiodactyla; Bovidae
Also listed under: 4 other names
Rfam family: tRNA
About the family: Transfer RNA (tRNA) molecules are approximately 80 nucleotides in length. Their secondary structure includes four short double-helical elements and three loops (D, anti-codon, and T loops).
Source: Rfam by way of RNAcentral
UCCCUGGUGGCUCAGAUGGUAAAGAAUCUGCCUGCAAUACAGGAGACCCAGGUUCGAUCCCUGGGUCGGGAA